RNAcentral lists this ribosomal RNA (460 nucleotides) under uncultured bacterium. RNAcentral describes it as "partial 16S ribosomal RNA". It matches the Rfam family "Bacterial small subunit ribosomal RNA", at positions 338 to 795 of the family's 1533-position model. The record is from RNAcentral.
CCUACGGGUGGCAGCAGUGAGGAAUAUUGGUCAAUGGACGAGAGUCUGAACCAGCCAAGCAGCGUGAAGGAUGACUGCCCUCUGGGUUGUAAACUUCUUUUAUAUGGGAAUAAAAUGUUCCACGUGUGGGAUUUUGUAUGUACCAUAUCAAUAAGGAUCGGCUAACUCCGUGCCAGCAGCCGCGGUAAUACGGAGGAUCCGAGCGUUAUCCGGAUUUAUUGGGUUUAAAGGGAGCGUAGGUGGAUUGUUAAGUCAGUUGUGAAAGUUUGGGGCUCAACCGUAGAAUUGCAGUUGAAACUGGCAGUCUUGAGUACAGUAGAGGUGGGCGGAAUUCGUGGUGUAGCGGUGAAAUGCGUAGAUAUCAGGAGGAACACCGAUGGCGAAGGCAGCUCACUGGACUGCAACUGACGCUGAGGCUCGAAAGUGUGGGGAGCAAACAGGAUUAGAUACCCCUGUAGUC